UCAAAGGUGUCAAAAAGAGUGUGCGGA
RNAcentral lists this non-coding RNA (27 nucleotides) under Bombyx mori (domestic silkworm). The record is from RNAcentral. Lineage: Eukaryota; Metazoa; Arthropoda; Insecta; Lepidoptera; Bombycidae.